RNAcentral lists this transfer RNA (73 nucleotides) under Felis catus (domestic cat). It matches the Rfam family "tRNA". Rfam says of the family: Transfer RNA (tRNA) molecules are approximately 80 nucleotides in length. Their secondary structure includes four short double-helical elements and three loops (D, anti-codon, and T loops). Further hydrogen bonds mediate the characteristic L-shaped molecular structure. tRNAs have two regions of fundamental functional importance: the anti-codon, which is responsible for specific mRNA codon recognition, and the 3' end, to which the tRNAs corresponding amino acid is attached (by aminoacyl-tRNA synthetases). tRNAs cope with the degeneracy of the genetic code in two manners: having more than one tRNA (with a specific anti-codon) for a particular amino acid; and 'wobble' base-pairing, i.e. permitting non-standard base-pairing at the 3rd anti-codon position. Lineage: Eukaryota; Metazoa; Chordata; Mammalia; Carnivora; Felidae. The record is from Rfam by way of RNAcentral. RNAcentral also lists the same sequence under 5 other names.
GCCUGGUUAGCUCAGUCAGUGGAGCAUGUGACUCUUGAUCUCAGGGAUGUGAGUUCAAGCCCCAUGUCUGGUA